GACGAACGCUGGCGGCGUGCUUAACACAUGCAAGUCGAACGGAAAGGCCCUGCUUUUGUUGGUUGCUCUAGUGGCGAACGGGUGAGUAACACGUGAGUAACCUGCCCUUGACUUUGGUAUAACUUCACGAAACUGGAGCUAAUACCAGAUAGGAGCUCCUGCUGCAUGGUGGGGGUUGGAAAGUGUCGGCUGUUGGGGAUGUACUCGCUGCUUAUCAGCUUGUUGUUGGGGUAGUGGCUUACCAAGGCUUUGACGGGUAGCCGGCCUGAGAGGGUGACCGGCACCACUGGGACUGAGAUACGGCCCAGACUCCUACGGGAGGCAGCAGUGGGGAAUAUUGUACAAUGGGCGGAAGCCUGAUGCAGCAACGCCGCGUGCGGGAUGACGGCCUUCGGGUUGUAAACCGCUUUCGCCUGUGACGAAGCGUGAGUGACGGUAAUGGGUAAAGAAGCACCGGCUAACUACGUG
This 468-nucleotide ribosomal RNA is filed under the name uncultured bacterium. Its description in RNAcentral is "partial 16S ribosomal RNA". It matches the Rfam family "Bacterial small subunit ribosomal RNA", at positions 28 to 507 of the family's 1533-position model. The record is from RNAcentral.